CUAACCGUGCGAAGGUAGCAUAAUCACUUGUUCUUUAAAUGAGGACUAGUAUCAACGGCAUCACGAGGAUCCUACUGUCUCCCCCCUCCAGUCAGUGAAACUGAUCUCUCCGUGAAGAAGCGGAGAUACGCAUAUAAGACGAGAAGACCCCAUGGAGCUUUAAACCCAACAACACCCGCCUCCCUUAAACCCUAUUAUCAGCCCGGCGAUUGUUUGCUUGGUUUUAGGUUGGGGUGACCACGGAGUACAAAACAUCCUCCAUGAAAAAAAGCUAACUGCCCUUAUUAGAGAAAGACAUUUCCAAAAAAUAACAAAUUAAUUUUUAAUGACCCGAUAUUCGAUCAACGAACCAAGUUACCCUGGGGAUAACAGCGCAAUCCGCCCCGAGAGCCCCUAUCGACAGGCGGGUUUACGACCUCGAUGUUGGAUCAGGGUAUCCUAGUGGUGCAGCAGCUACUAACGGUUCGUUUGUUCAACGAUUAAAACCCUACGUGAUCU
This 498-nucleotide ribosomal RNA is filed under the name Boophis roseipalmatus. RNAcentral's name for it is "partial large subunit ribosomal RNA". It matches the Rfam family "Bacterial large subunit ribosomal RNA", at positions 1942 to 2606 of the family's 2925-position model. Lineage: Eukaryota; Metazoa; Chordata; Amphibia; Anura; Mantellidae. The record is from RNAcentral.